UACGGGGGGAGCAAGCGUUGUUCGGAUUUACUGGGCGUAAAGGGCGCGUAGGCGGUUCGCUAAGUUGAAUGUGAAAACUCUGGGCUUAACCCAGAGCCUGCAUUCAAUACUGGCGGGCUAGAGUUCUGGAGGGGAUAGCGGAAUUCCUGGUGUAGCGGUGAAAUGCGUAGAUAUCAGGAGGAACACCGGUGGCGAAGGCGGCUAUCUGGACAGAGUCUGACGCUGAGGCGCGAAAGCUAGGGGAGCAAACAGG
This 253-nucleotide ribosomal RNA is filed under the name uncultured bacterium. RNAcentral's name for it is "partial 16S ribosomal RNA". It matches the Rfam family "Bacterial small subunit ribosomal RNA", at positions 524 to 776 of the family's 1533-position model. The record is from RNAcentral.